CCUGUCCCCCCGUAUAUAUACGAGUAUUCUUCUCGAUUCUUCAACAAAUACAGUUAUACUUCGCACGCCAACAUUGCUCCUUCUCUCUCUCUCUCUCUCUCUCUCCAGGAGCGUGUCUGUUUCAAAAGAGGAAUGCUAGUUUUCAGAUAUAGUCAUAUUCAAUAGGGGAAUCUGAGGGAAGUAUUACAAACUCACCGAUGAUGGAAAAAAUGGAUGACCGCGUCUAUUCUUCUAUUUUCAAAGGCCAAGGCUCAUAUGGAAUGGUUGGUGCUGUCCUUGUAGCCAUAGCCGUGCCUUUUUUUCUGUCUGUGAUACUUGUGGGGAAGAAAAAGGCGAAACAGAGAGGGGUUCCUGUACAGGUUGGUGGUGAGGCUGGUUUUGCAAUGCGCAAUUCUAGAUUCGCCAAAUUGGUUGAAGUUCCUUGGGAAGGAGCCACUACUGUGGCAGCUCUUUUUGAGCAGUCUUGUAAGAAGCAUUCAAGGGAACGAUUUCUUGGAACGAGAAAGCUAAUUAGUAGGGACUUUGUUACUGCAAGUGAUGGCAGGAAGUUUGAGAAGCUACACCUAGGAGAAUAUCAAUGGGAGACAUAUGAGCAGGCCUUUGAACGCACUUGCAAUUUUGCAUCAGGAAUUGUGAAUUUAGGUCAUGAUGUGGAUACUCGUGUUGCCAUUUUCUCUGAGACUCGGGCGGAGUGGUUACUUGCCUUUCAGGGUUGCUUCCGGCAGAACAUUACGAUAAUUACAAUUUAUGCUUCUCUAGGCGAGGGUGCCCUGAUCCACUCACUCAAUGAGACCCAAGUAUCAACUGUGAUUUGCGAUUCUAAGCAAUUGAAGAAGUUGGCUGCAAUAAGCUCGAGCCUAGAAACUCUAAAGAACAUCAUUUAUUUUGAAGAUGAUGACACUGGAGGGGACUUAAACUCAUCUGGAAAUCUGAGCACUUGGAAGGUUACUCCUUUUUCUGAGGUGGAAAAAUCGGGGAAAAGAAGUCCUGUUCUUCCAAGACUACCUAUCAAGAAGGAUAUUGCAGUUAUCAUGUAUACAAGUGGUAGUACAGGUCUACCAAAGGGAGUUAUGAUGACCCACGGUAACCUUGUAGCCACUGCUGCUGCAGUUAUGCCAGUGAUUCCAAACCUGGGAAGCAAUGAUGUUUUCUUGGCAUACUUGCCUCUGGCUCAUGUUUUUGAAUUGGAGGCUGAGAUUGUCAUGACUGCUGCAGGUGUUGCCAUUGGUUAUGGUUCGGCAAUGACAUUAACAGACACUUCUAACAAAAUCAAGAAGGGAACCAAGGGAGAUGCAUCUGCGUUAGGGCCCACACUUAUGACUGCAGUUCCAGCAAUUUUAGAUCGUGUUCGAGAUGGAGUUUCAAAGAAGGUUGAGGAAAAGGGAGGUUUUGCUAAGAAACUUUUCAGUUUUGGAUACAAGCGUCAGCUGGCUGCUAUAGAAGGCAGCUGGCUUGGAGCCUGGGGAGUAGAGAGAUUACUCUGGGAUGUCAUCAUUUUCAAAAAGAUACGUUCUGUACUUGGGGGGAACAUCCGGAUGAUGCUUUGUGGUGGAGCUCCUCUAUCCGGUGAUACACAACGAUUUAUCAACAUCUGCAUGGGGGCUCCUAUUGGUCAAGGAUAUGGCCUCACAGAAACGUGUGCUGGAGCUGCUUUUAGCGAGGCGGAUGACACUUCAGUUGGGCGUGUUGGUCCGCCACUUCCUUGUUGCUACAUCAAGCUUGUUUCUUGGGAAGAAGGUGGGUACACGACAUCUGACACCCCAAUGCCUCGAGGAGAGGUUGUAGUAGGAGGCGCUACUGUCACUGCUGGGUACUUCAACAAUGAAGCAAAAACAAAAGAGGUGUUCAAGGUUGAUGAGAAGGGCAUGCACUGGUUCUAUACUGGUGACAUUGGACGAUUUCACCCUGAUGGAUGCCUUGAAGUUAUUGACAGAAAGAAGGAUAUAGUCAAACUUCAACAUGGAGAGUACGUCUCCCUUGGCAAGGUUGAAGCAGCUUUGAUGACAAACAACUAUGUAGACAAUAUCAUGGUAUAUGUAGAUCCUUUCCACAACUUCUGUGUAGCUCUAGUCGUCCCCAUAAAGCAGGCCCUUGAGAAAUGGGCCAAAGAAUCUGGCAUCAGUUACGAAGGUUUUCCCGAUUUGUGUAACAAAGUGGAAGCUGUAAAAGAGAUCCAGCAAUCUCUUUCGAAGGUUUGUUUCCUUUUACGUUUGACGGCUGAUAUUUCGUAGCAAUAUUAUAGUAGCCAAGUUUACAUAUCAACUGUCAGUGGAUUCAUAAAAUUAGAAUACAAGUCCAGACAUCUAAUAUUUUAUCUUAAAGACCAAUGGGGUAAAUUUUUUUUUUCUUUCCCCGGGAUUGAGUUUUAGAAAAGAUGAAGAAACAAAUUCAUAUAGAUGACCCCAAUUAUUGAGGCCUAAGGCUCAAUUUGGUUGGUUGGGGUUCUCCAUAAAACAGGAUGCCUGUCAUUUAUUACUAAAAUUAGUACAUCAUUACAACCAUUUCGUCACUAAUACCUCUUAUUGUUAUGUAUACAUUCCGUCUUUUUUUUCUUCGACUUGUCGAGCUUUUUUGAACUACACAACUUAUUGAACUUGAUUAUCCCACGGUGAAUCUACGUUUCCAUUUCUGCUUCUGCAAUAUACCUUUAUGCAUCCGUAACCUGUGUGCCUCUAUGCAUUGCCAUAACAGUUUACUCUUUUUAUUGGAUUACUAAAACAGGUAUACUUGGAAAGGGGGCUUGUUAGGAAUUUUACGGCUCAAAAUACUAAUAGCUACUAAAUUUUAUUCGUAUAAUUAGAUGUCAAAGAUUGACCUUGUUAUGAGUUUUGAGCACUUUAUUCAUGUGUAUGGUAAUAUGCAGGUGGGGAAAGAUGCAAAACUAGAAAAGUUUGAAAUUCCAUCAAA
RNA transcript from Rhododendron vialii, 2907 nucleotides. It is a transcript of the gene named long chain acyl-CoA synthetase 8, with no coding region annotated. NCBI's taxonomy places the organism in Eukaryota, Viridiplantae, Streptophyta, Magnoliopsida, Ericales, Ericaceae. The transcript has 12 exons. The record is from RefSeq and is a predicted model, not a curated record.